AGCGAACGCUGGCGGCAUGCCUAACACAUGCAAGUCGCACGGGGGGGCUUCGGCCUCCCAGUGGCGGACGGGUGAGGAACGCGUAGGGACCUGUCGAGGGGUGGGGGAUAACCGCGGGAAACUGCGGCUAAUACCGCAUGACGCCGCGGCGUGACAGCCGGGGCCAAAGGCGAAAGCCGCCCGCCGAGGGGCCUGCGUCCGAUUAGCUGGUUGGCGGGGUAGCGGCCCACCAAGGCGUCGAUCGGUAGCUGGUCUGAGAGGGUGAUCAGCCACACCGGGACUGAGACACGGCCCGGACUCCUACGGGAAGCAGCAGUGGGGAAUAUUGGACAAUGGGCGCAAGCCUGAUCCAGCAAUGCCGCGUGGGUGAAGAAGGUCAUCGGAUUGUAAAGCCCUUUCGGCGGGGACGAUGGUGACGGUACCCGCAGAAGAAGCCCCGGCUAACUUCGUG
RNAcentral lists this ribosomal RNA (451 nucleotides) under uncultured bacterium. RNAcentral's name for it is "partial 16S ribosomal RNA". It matches the Rfam family "Bacterial small subunit ribosomal RNA", at positions 28 to 507 of the family's 1533-position model. The record is from RNAcentral.